ACCUACGGGGGGCAGCAGUGGGGAAUAUUGCACAAUGGGGGAAACCCUGAUGCAGCGACGCCGCGUGAGUGAAGAAGUAUUUCGGUAUGUAAAGCUCUAUCAGCAGGAACGAGACAAGACGGUACCUGACUAAGAAGCCCCGGCUAACUACGUGCCAGCAGCCGCGGUAAUACGUAGGGGGCAAGCGUUAUCCGGAAUCACUGGGUGUAAAGGGAGCGUAGACGGCUGAGCAAGCCUGAAGUGAAAUGCCGGGGCUCAACCCCGGAACUGCUUUGGAAACUGUGCAGCUAGAGCGCGGGAGAGGG
RNAcentral lists this ribosomal RNA (305 nucleotides) under uncultured bacterium. RNAcentral describes it as "bacterial SSU rRNA". It matches the Rfam family "Bacterial small subunit ribosomal RNA", at positions 337 to 658 of the family's 1533-position model. The record is from RNAcentral.